GCCUCGGUGGCUCAGCCGGUUCUCACGCGGCAAAGAGCACGUCCUUGGUAAGGACGGGGUCGCGAGUUCAAAUCUCGCCCGAGGCUCCA
Molecule: transfer RNA, 89 nt
Rfam family: tRNA
About the family: Transfer RNA (tRNA) molecules are approximately 80 nucleotides in length.